This 460-nucleotide ribosomal RNA is filed under the name uncultured bacterium. RNAcentral describes it as "partial 16S ribosomal RNA". It matches the Rfam family "Bacterial small subunit ribosomal RNA", at positions 338 to 795 of the family's 1533-position model. The record is from RNAcentral.
CCUACGGGAGGCAGCAGUGAGGAAUAUUGGUCAAUGGGCGCGAGCCUGAACCAGCCAAGUAGCGUGAAGGAUGACUGCCCUACGGGUUGUAAACUUCUUUUAUAAAAGAAUAAAGUUAGGCACGUGUGCCUUUUUGUAUGUACUUUAUGAAUAAGGAUCGGCUAACUCCGUGCCAGCAGCCGCGGUAAUACGGAGGAUCCGAGCGUUAUCCGGAUUUAUUGGGUUUAAAGGGAGCGUAGAUGGGUUGUUAAGUCAGUUGUGAAAGUUUGCGGCUCAACCGGAAAAUUGCAAUUGAUACUGGCAGUCUUGAGUACAGUUGAGGUAGGCGGAAUUCGUGGUGUAGCGGUGAAAUGCUUAGAGAUCAUGAAGAACUCCGAUUGCGAAGGCAGCUCACUGGACUGUAACUGACACUGAGGCUCGAAAGUGUGGGGAUCAAACAGGAUUAGAUACCCGUGUAGUC